UACAGGGGGGGCAAGCGUUGUUCGGAAUUACUGGGCGUAAAGGGUUCGUAGGUGGCCAACUAAGUCAGACGUGAAAUCCCUCAGCUUAACUGGGGAACUGCGUCUGAUACUGGAUGGCUUGAGUGUAGGAGAGGAAUGCGGAAUUCCAGGUGUAGCGGUGAAAUGCUUAGAUAUCGUCAAGAACACCUAUAGCGAAGGCAGCUUACUAGGCUGUAACUGACGCUGAGGCACGAAAGUGUGGGGAUCAAACAGG
RNAcentral lists this ribosomal RNA (253 nucleotides) under uncultured bacterium. Its description in RNAcentral is "partial 16S ribosomal RNA". It matches the Rfam family "Bacterial small subunit ribosomal RNA", at positions 524 to 776 of the family's 1533-position model. The record is from RNAcentral.